ACGAACGCUGGCGGCAUGCCUAACACAUGCAAGUCGAACGAGACCUUCGGGUCUAGUGGCGCACGGGUGCGUAACGCGUGGGAACCUGCCCUUAGGUUCGGAAUAACUGCCCGAAAGGGGUGCUAAUACCGGAUAAUGUCUUCGGACCAAAGAUUUAUCGCCUUUGGAUGGGCCCGCGUUGGAUUAGCUAGUUGGUAGGGUAAAAGCCUACCAAGGCGACGAUCCAUAGCUGGUCUGAGAGGAUGAUCAGCCACACUGGGACUGAGACACGGCCCAGACUCCUACGGGAGGCAGCAGUGGGGAAUAUUGGACAAUGGGCGAAAGCCUGAUCCAGCAAUGCCGCGUGAGUGAUGAAGGCCUUAGGGUUGUAAAGCUCUUUUACCCGGGAUGAUAAUGACAGUACCGGGAGAAUAAGCUCCGGCUAACUCCGUG
This 432-nucleotide ribosomal RNA is filed under the name uncultured bacterium. RNAcentral's name for it is "partial 16S ribosomal RNA". It matches the Rfam family "Bacterial small subunit ribosomal RNA", at positions 29 to 507 of the family's 1533-position model. The record is from RNAcentral.